CCUACGGGAGGCAGCAGUGGGGAAUCUUGCGCAAUGGGCGAAAGCCUGACGCAGCGACGCCGCGUGGGGGAAGAAGGCCUUCGGGUUGUAAACCUCUUUCAGCAGGGACGAAGCCACUCGGGUUAAUAGCCCAGAGGGUGACGGUACCUGCAGAAGAAGCCCCGGCUAACUACGUGCCAGCAGCCGCGGUAAUACGUAGGGGGCAAGCGUUGUCCGGAUUUAUUGGGCGUAAAGAGCGUGUAGGCGGCCAGACAAGUCCGUUGUGAAAACUAGAGGCUUAACCUCUAGACGUCGAUGGAAACUGUUUGGCUAGAGUCCGGAAGAGGAGAAUGGAAUUCCUGGUGUAGCGGUGAAAUGCGCAGAUAUCAGGAAGAACACCCGUGGCUAAGGCGGUUCUCUAGUACGGCACUGACGCUGAGACGCGAAAGCGUGGGGAGCGAACAGGAUUAGAUACCCUGGUAGUCCACGCCGUAAACGAUGGGUGCUAGGUGUGGGGGUGUCGACUCCCUCCGUGCCGAAGCUAACGCAUUAAGCACCCGCCUGGGGAGUACGGCCGCAAGGCAAAACUCAAAUGAAUUGACGG
This 583-nucleotide ribosomal RNA is filed under the name uncultured bacterium. RNAcentral's name for it is "bacterial SSU rRNA". It matches the Rfam family "Bacterial small subunit ribosomal RNA", at positions 338 to 916 of the family's 1533-position model. The record is from RNAcentral.